UACGAGGGGGGCAAGCGUUGUUCGGAAUUAUUGGGCGUAAAGGGUGCGUAGGCGGUUCGGUAAGUCACCAGUGAAAUCUAUGGGCUCAACCCAUAGUCUGCUGGCGAAACUGCCGGGCUUGAGUAUGGGAGAGGUGAGUGGAAUUUCCGGUGUAGCGGUGAAAUGCGUAGAUAUCGGAAGGAACACCUGUGGCGAAAGCGGCUCACUGGACCAUAACUGACGCUGAGGCACGAAAGCUAGGGGAGCAAACAGG
Molecule: ribosomal RNA, 253 nt
Filed under: uncultured bacterium
Lineage: Bacteria
Description: partial 16S ribosomal RNA
Rfam family: Bacterial small subunit ribosomal RNA
Source: RNAcentral